Molecule: ribosomal RNA, 253 nt
Filed under: uncultured bacterium
Lineage: Bacteria
Description: partial 16S ribosomal RNA
Rfam family: Bacterial small subunit ribosomal RNA
Source: RNAcentral
UACGUAGGGUCCGAGCGUUGUCCGGAAUUAUUGGGCGUAAAGGGCUCGUAGGCGGUCCGUCACGUCGGACGUGAAAACUCAGGGCUCAACCCUGAGCGUGCUUCCGAUACGGGCGGACUAGAGGUAUGCAGGGGAGAACGGAAUUCCUGGUGUAGCGGUGGAAUGCGCAGAUAUCAGGAGGAACACCGGUGGCGAAGGCGGUUCUCUGGGCAUUACCUGACGCUGAGGAGCGAAAGCAUGGGGAGCGAACAGG